Small nuclear RNA from Propithecus coquereli (Coquerel's sifaka), 126 nucleotides. Lineage: Eukaryota; Metazoa; Chordata; Mammalia; Primates; Indriidae. The record is from Ensembl.
ACCAUCCUUUUCUUGGGGUAGCGCUACUGUCCAAUGAACGAGUAGUGAGGACAGUACUGCUAACGCCUACACAACACACUCGCAUCAACUAGAGCUUUGCUUUAUUUUGGUGCAAUUUUUGGAAAA